CCUACGGGGUGCAGCAGUGAGGAAUAUUGGUCAAUGGACGCAAGUCUGAACCAGCCAUGCCGCGUGCAGGAAGACGGCUCUAUGAGUUGUAAACUGCUUUUGUACGAGGGUAAACGCAGAUACGCGUAUCUGUCUGAAAGUAUCGUACGAAUAAGGAUCGGCUAACUCCGUGCCAGCAGCCGCGGUAAUACGGAGGAUUCAAGCGUUAUCCGGAUUUAUUGGGUUUAAAGGGUGCGUAGGCGGGCGGAUAAGUCAGGUGUGAAAGCCCGAGGCUCAACUUCGGAAUUGCCUCUGAUACUGUUCGGCUAGAGAGCAGUUGCGGUAGGCGGAAUGUAUGGUGUAGCGGUGAAAUGCUUAGAGAUCAUACAGAACACCGAUUGCGAAGGCAGCUUACCAAGCUACUUCUGACGUUGAGGCACGAAAGCGUGGGGAUCAAACAGGAUUAGAUACCCGUGUAGUC
RNAcentral lists this ribosomal RNA (460 nucleotides) under uncultured bacterium. Its description in RNAcentral is "partial 16S ribosomal RNA". It matches the Rfam family "Bacterial small subunit ribosomal RNA", at positions 338 to 795 of the family's 1533-position model. The record is from RNAcentral.